RNAcentral lists this ribosomal RNA (694 nucleotides) under uncultured bacterium. Its description in RNAcentral is "bacterial SSU rRNA". It matches the Rfam family "Bacterial small subunit ribosomal RNA", at positions 32 to 715 of the family's 1533-position model. The record is from RNAcentral.
AACGCUAGCUACAGGCUUAACACAUGCAAGUCGAGGGGCAGCAUGGUCUUAGCUUGCUAAGGCCGAUGGCGACCGGCGCACGGGUGAGUAACGCGUAUCCAACCUGCCUUACACUCUUGGACAGCCUUCUGAAAGGGAGAUUAAUACAAGAUGUUAUCAUGAGUAAGCAUUUUCGCAUGAUUAAAGGUUUACCGGUGUAAGAUGGGGAUGCGUUCCAUUAGAUAGUAGGCGGGGUAACGGCCCACCUAGUCUUCGAUGGAUAGGGGUUCUGAGAGGAAGGUCCCCCACAUUGGAACUGAGACACGGUCCAAACUCCUACGGGAGGCAGCAGUGAGGAAUAUUGGUCAAUGGACGAGAGUCUGAACCAGCCAAGUAGCGUGAAGGAUGAAGGUUCUAUGGAUUGUAAACUUCUUUUAUACGGGAAUAAACGAAUCCACGCGUGGAUUUUUGCAUGUACCGUAUGAAUAAGGAUCGGCUAACUCCGUGCCAGCAGCCGCGGUAAUACGGAGGAUCCGAGCGUUAUCCGGAUUUAUUGGGUUUAAAGGGAGCGUAGAUGGGUUGUUAAGUCAGUUGUGAAAGUUUGCGGCUCAACCGUAAAAUUGCAGUUGAUACUGGUUUCCUUGAGUGCAGUUGAGGCAGGCGGAAUUCGUGGUGUAGCGGUGAAAUGCUUAGAUAUCACGAAGAACUCCGAUUG